This 569-nucleotide ribosomal RNA is filed under the name uncultured bacterium. Its description in RNAcentral is "partial 16S ribosomal RNA". It matches the Rfam family "Bacterial small subunit ribosomal RNA", at positions 355 to 913 of the family's 1533-position model. The record is from RNAcentral.
UGGGGAAUAUUGCACAAUGGGCGCAAGCCUGAUGCAGCCAUGCCGCGUGUGUGAAGAAGGCCUUCGGGUUGUAAAGCACUUUCAGCGAGGAGGAAGGUGGUGAGCUUAAUACGCUCAUCAAUUGACGUUACUCGCAGAAGAAGCACCGGCUAACUCCGUGCCAGCAGCCGCGGUAAUACGGAGGGUGCAAGCGUUAAUCGGAAUUACUGGGCGUAAAGCGCACGCAGGCGGUUUGUUAAGUCAGAUGUGAAAUCCCCGGGCUCAACCUGGGAACUGCAUUUGAAACUGGCAAGCUAGAGUCUCGUAGAGGGGGGUAGAAUUCCAGGUGUAGCGGUGAAAUGCGUAGAGAUCUGGAGGAAUACCGGUGGCGAAGGCGGCCCCCUGGACGAAGACUGACGCUCAGGUGCGAAAGCGUGGGGAGCAAAACAGGAUUAGAUACCCUGGUAGUCCACGCUGUAAAACGAUGUCGAUUUUGGAGGUUGUGCCCUUGAGGCGUGGCUUCCGGAGCUAACGCGUUAAAUCGACCGCCUGGGGAGUACGGCCGCAAGGUUAAAACUCAAAUGAAUUGC